RNAcentral lists this ribosomal RNA (465 nucleotides) under uncultured bacterium. Its description in RNAcentral is "partial 16S ribosomal RNA". It matches the Rfam family "Bacterial small subunit ribosomal RNA", at positions 338 to 795 of the family's 1533-position model. The record is from RNAcentral.
CCUACGGGGAGCUGCAGUAGGGAAUCUUCCACAAUGGGCGAAAGCCUGAUGGAGCAACGCCGCGUGGGUGAAGAAGGUCUUCGGAUCGUAAAACCCUGUUGUUAGAGAAGAAAGUGCGUGAGAGUAACUGUUCACGUUUCGACGGUAUCUAACCAGAAAGCCACGGCUAACUACGUGCCAGCAGCCGCGGUAAUACGUAGGUGGCAAGCGUUAUCCGGAUUGAUUGGGCGUAAAGGGAACGCAGGCGGACUUUUAAGUCUGAUGUGAAAGCCUUCGGCUUAACCGGAGUAGUGCAUUGGAAACUGGGAGACUUGAGUGCAGAAGAGGAGAGUGGAACUCCAUGUGUAGCGGUGAAAUGCGUAGAUAUAUGGAAGAACACCAGUGGCGAAAGCGGCUCUCUGGUCUGUAACUGACGCUGAGGUUCGAAAGCGUGGGUAGCAAACAGGAUUAGAUACCCUGGUAGUC